Long non-coding RNA from Carassius auratus (goldfish), 257 nucleotides. RefSeq lists it as uncharacterized. The transcript is spliced from 3 exons. NCBI's taxonomy places the organism in Eukaryota, Metazoa, Chordata, Actinopteri, Cypriniformes, Cyprinidae. The record is from RefSeq and is a predicted model, not a curated record.
GGUGUGACAGAAGUGGACAAUGCUGGUAGAUCCACUGAGUACAUACCUAGGGAUUUGCCCACAGAUGAGGGUCCUUCAGCCUCAGCACACAAUCUAAGCAGGUUGCCAGCAAAGGAGCUGUAUAAAGUCCAUCUUCAAAAACAAAUAAGAAAAAGUGACAUGGAGAUGGACCUUAUACAGCUUCAAAUGGAAGAGAAAAGGCUCCUCAUUAAAAAAGCAGCACUUGAAAUAGAAUUACUUGAGAAUCGCUUUAAGGU